UACGUAGGGUGCGAGCGUUGUCCGGAAUUACUGGGCGUAAAGCGUGCGCAGGCGGCUUGCCAAGUCAGAUGUGAAAGCCCCGGGCUCAACCCGGGAACUGCGUUUGAAACUGGCAGGCUAGAGUUUGGCAGAGGGGGGUGGAAUUCCACGUGUAGCAGUGAAAUGCGUAGAGAUGUGGAGGAACACCGAUGGCGAAGGCAGCCCCCUGGGCCAAAACUGACGCUCAGGCACGAAAGCGUGGGGAGCAAACAGG
Molecule: ribosomal RNA, 253 nt
Filed under: uncultured bacterium
Lineage: Bacteria
Description: partial 16S ribosomal RNA
Rfam family: Bacterial small subunit ribosomal RNA
Source: RNAcentral